Molecule: unclassified non-coding RNA, 241 nt
Rfam family: 5.8S ribosomal RNA (bases 1-52)
AACGCACAUUGCGCCCUCUGGUAUUCCGGGGGGCAUGCCUGUUCGAGCGUCAUUACAACCCUCAAGCUCAGCUUGGUAUUGGGCCUCGCCGGUUCCGGCGGGCCUCAAAGUCAGUGGCGGUGCCAUCCGGCUUCAAGCGUAGUAACACUCUCGCUUCCGGAGACCCGGGUGCGUGCUUGCCAGCAACCCCAAUUUUCCCAAGGUUGACCUCGGAUCAGGUAGGGAUACCCGCUGAACUUAA